Molecule: long non-coding RNA, 10903 nt
Organism: Anarrhichthys ocellatus (wolf-eel)
Lineage: Eukaryota; Metazoa; Chordata; Actinopteri; Perciformes; Anarhichadidae
Exons: 3
Source: RefSeq, a predicted model, not a curated record
UUUUUUGCAAAUUCCUUCUAUCUUUCAUUUUGUCUUUCUGUUAAUGAAAGUGAGGCUUGUUCAUGUGGGAAUGAAGUUCACAUGACACCUGCAGUCGGUCUCUCGCCCGAAGGCCUGAAUGUGUAAGAAAUGAGCAUGCGUGGCAUCUUUGGUGUCUUUCAUGAGUCUGGAGGUUUUACUCCCUGGUUCUUUAUUGACACAUUGAAGUGCUGCUCUAUUGAAAGCUUGUGCAUUAGGCAAACCGAGUGUAUCUGCAGUACAGUAUUUCGUCAUGUCAGCCUAAUGCAGGAGGCUGUAAGUGCUCCUUACUCACCUGUUUGAGAGUCGAACUGACUCCUUCAUUCGUUCUUGUUCUGUGAGACUUGGAUUUGCAAAAGCACAAUGACUUGAGGUUUAUAGAAUGUGAAAACAAUGCAUUUGUUGUAAUAUUUGUUGCCAUUUCUUUAUAAGCUGCCUAGCAUACUGAAAGCUUUGUUUUAUUCCCAAUGAGAAAUGCUUCCAUCAUGCUGCUGUGUCUGCAGCACUAAAGGAAACCAAUGGGGCUUUACAUUCGUAUGAACAUAUCAACUGAUCUGUGUAAUGUUCCUCCACCAGCACAAACACCAACAAGAAACAGAUGUAGGGAGUUUCAGUACAGACACAUGCUGCUGCUGCUCUUGAUAUGCAGUUCAACUUGUCUGACAAAUGAGGCAGCACUUAUAAAUGUUUAGACCACAAGGAUUUCCUGCAGAUAAGACGAUACCGUAGCUGAAUAAUACACAUCUGUGGAAUCGUUUUACCAAUAUUUUUUUUGGAUUUCAAUAUUUUAAAAUCCUUUGUACAUGCCAUGCACCUCUACCACCACAAAGUGGUAACUUAUUACAAUGAGCUGCUAUUAGGUGAUGAUUUGGGAACAUGACAGAGUGAAGGAUAAAUAUUUGCUCCCUGCUGGUCCUCAUGUGUGACCUCUGACACCUUUCAGGUUAAGCCUCUUUGAAGAGCGGCCAUUACAAUUCCCAGAAGUGGCCACUUCAAUUGGUCAGUUAUUAACGACUGAGCCCAACAGGGCUCUCCGGUGUGGUCACGCAUGAUGACCACGCAGUCAAACAAAUCUGACAGAAAUGGAUGAAUUUAAGGCGGAAGCUUGUUUGAUCUGGGAGAGACAGGAUUUGAUGUGUGAGUGUGUGUGUGUGUGUGUGUGUGUGUGUGUGUGUGUGUGUGCAGUGUAGUUUUAAAGUGUCAACUAGUUCAAUUAUAUAUAUAUAUAAUUGAAACUAUUCAACAAAUGUGAAAAUGUGAGUUAUUGAGGCCAUUUCUUCUCGUGAACAAUAUGGUUACAUAUCAGAUAAUAUCAGUAUUUUUAGAGAAUUAACAACUGAAGAAUAUUUUAGAAAAUAUGAACAAAAAUUCUGCAAAUCACACUAAAUUACUGAGUGAAUAACUGCAAUAAUUUAUUCAAUAUAUAAAUACUCUUCUCUCUUUUGAAGGUCUUAAAACGGGAGAGGACCAGUCCUACUUCAGAUUUAUACUAAAGCAGAAAUCAAACAACACAAAAUAAUAAUGUUAUUGGUAAUUCAGAAGUUAAUGAGCAUCAAUGAUCUUUAUUCAGUAAAUGUUCAUCUGCGCUGAAUCAGCUUUGCUCGUUUGGUUGGCCCCCUGUGUUCGGCUGAUCUCUGCGUUUCAUUGAUUUUAAAGACCAAGAUACAAAACUUAAAUAAAAAUAAUACAUUAUAAAUAAGAUUUAUAAUGUAUUUUAUAAAGAACAAUGUAUUUAUUACGCAUACUUUGUAUAACUGUGUAAUUUCCGCUGAGGUAUAUCUUUUCUCUGUUGCUGCUAAAAUGAUUUUACUUCUGUAUAAUUAAUCGGCCACAUAAACCAAAUAUCUAUUUAAGUAAUUUAAAAAGUAGGCUUUUAAUUCCAAAAAUAUUGAAUUAUAUAAUGAUGAACAAAUGAACAAAUAAAGCCAAAUUAUAUUACGGUAAGAACGCACCUUUUCUUUUCAGUACCUCAGAAUUAAACCACAGGAUUUACUGACGAUGCGAUUCUAAAGAUAUUUAAAAACAUAAUUUUAGUUUUAAACCGAAAAACAAAAUCUUCGAGAAACUUUAAUGUUUUAGAGCCUUUGAUGCAUUUGUUUAGAACAGUAUACACACCUGUAUUUUCUGUAUAUUCCUGUGUCAUCCUCUUCAUAAAGAGAAACGCAGUAGCAACUAAUAGACACAACAAUUCCUCCGCUAUUUUUAUGAAUCUAAAACACCCCAUAAUAUUAUUACAUGUUCUAUUACAGCUCUAAGAGAGAGAGAGACUAUUAAUGAUAGCCUGUUGUUAAAAUAAUAUCAUCAUUAUACUGUUGUGUAGCCUCACAUAUUUACCUCUCCACGUGCCUCGGUACUUUAAGGUGAAUUACGUUUUUUUUCUGCAGAUUUGUGCGAUUAUAGAAUGAUUUCUUCUAUUUCCACCGUCACGCGGGCCUGUACUUGGUAAUUAUUCGAUAAUAUCCACAUAUGUAGGGACCUUCAUGACAACAAAAGAUUUACCUUUUUACCCACACUAUCAUUUCAUUCAUUAUCGGUUCAGACUUUUCUAAAUUCAUCAACGUUUCUUUUCGUUUAAAUACAUUUAGAACAUUUAGAAGACGCCACUUCCUGCAUCAGAAACACGAUCUCUUUGUCUGUGGAGUUUGAGAGUUUGAACAUGUUCGACUGCAUUCAUUUUAGAGGCUGCGUUUCUAUAAUGUUGUUGUGAUUCGGUUUGAUGUCGCUCUAUGGAGGAAUAUUCAGCGUGUAGUUUGGAUUUAGGCCAUUCAGACCUGCGCAGGCCUGAGCUGCAGUGCUGCGUCUCCGCCGCUAGGUGUCGCUGUUUCCCUCGGAUGGUCUGAAGGUUCUCUGAGAUGUUUGAUUGUCAUCAUCGCCUCGUGUUCUGCGAUGUGGAGUUUCGAGAGGAGGCUGAGUGUGUUGCUGUUGCUUCCCAUGAUGAGCUUUGUGUUGUUUUGGAGAAGUGUCGUCGGCACAGCUCGUCCUUAAUGACAAAGCUGUUUGAAUGUGAAGGCCUAUUAAUAAUAAGGCCCACUGCAGGCUGCCGUUCAUUUAUCAGGUCGUUCAAAAAUGAUCCUUAUGCGAGUAUGGACGAAUAACAGGACUCUCUUGUCUAUGUUAGUAUAAUUAGAGCUUCACUAACAGCUUGUUGGUCAUUUAAUUUAAAAAUGAAAUGUACAUCUUUAGAUAGAAAAUAUAAUUGAUAUCAUAUUUCUGAAGUAUUGUUUUGUAGAUAAAGUAUAGAUAAAGUAGCCUUAAUUUAUUUAUUCCAUGUGUCAGAAGUGGAGGCUGUCCUAAUAAUAAUAAUAAUAAUAAUAAUAAUAAUAAUAAUAACAAUAACAAUAACAAUAACAGUAAUAACAAUAAUAAUAAUAAGACAAUAAUAAUAGAAAUGCUUCUUAUGCUGCCUUAAAACGUUGAAUUAAAGAAAGUAGAAGAAAGACAAAUUGUGACCUAUUUAUUCUUGGAUGGUCUGUUAGGGUCAUUUUGUUAUCGUAAUCAUUGUUUGCACCAAAAAAACAGCUUCCAAUUGAUAAAGAGUAUUGUUCCUUAUAUAAAACGUACCCUAGUCCAGUUUUUACUAAAUACUUACUUCUACUAAAUUGUCAUCUGGAGACACACGCAAAGCACAAUACACACACUAUUCUUUUCUUUUUAUUUAGAAAUUCAUUUCAGAGUGAGAAUUGUUUUAUUUAUUAUUUCUUCACAAAAUAAUGCAACAAAAUAAAGAUCUUAUGAAUCCAUCAGUGUCAGCAUCACAAACUAGACAUAAAACACAAAUCAGUGUUGUUGAGAACACGAACGAGCCUCUGCCGUGAUUCCCUAACGCAGGCGCAGUGGAGAACAUAUUUGGAAUGACCUAUCCUGGCGCCUGACGUCAGCGCGUAAACAAUUAUCAAUGACUAGUUUUGUUGCACGCAGCGUUGACUCUCCUUUUGGUGCCUGCAGUCUGUAGGUAUGUCUUACUGACUUUCAGAUUCAGUAGCUUUUACUCUGUUUAUGGUUGAACAUUUGGCACUUGUUUAUCCACCGUGCGCUCCGUUACGCACAGAGUGGAAUGGAGACGUCGCACCACGUAAAAGCAACGUGACCCACACAAGCUCUAGGGAACCAAGCUUCUGCUUCUCUUGGCGCUGCUGAGGCUGCGGCAACAGCAUCGCACACUCCGCUGCUGCGUUCAACGUCUCCAUCUCUCACAAAUCGUUUUCACUUUUACGCAUUUUUCCCCCUUGCAGCCUGAACGUGAGGACACUACAAUUUUGAAAUGUACAGUCGUUGCUGCUGCUGGUUAGUAGCUCGUUCUGGCUCCGUCUUCCUGCAAGAUGUUGACUCAGGUGCUUCAGUCGAGCAAGGUGUAGGUUUGGAGAUCGCUGUUCAGUGGAGGUCUCUCUCCUGCUGGCUUCACUGCACAAAACGGGCUCUCUUUCCGGUGCCGCGAGGACCUCACUGUGCAGCUGACUGUGGGGAGACAGGGGGAGGAUGGAGCGUGCUGGGUGAUGAGGAGUGUAGGUAUCUUCUAUGGCACAUUUGUGAUAACACCUUCUGCCAAGCUGAUAUAUGCUUUAAAACCACGUGGCGUCGUUUUUUGGUGCACUCGUCCCUCCACCAGACAAAAUCUAAAAUGUUGGGUUCUGCUGUGUCCGUCUCCCUAAGAAGGUCCUCAGUGGUGCCUUUCCUCCCACCCCCUUUCUGCAGCCAGCGGAGGCUGCGGCCGUGAGCCGCACGUGCACGUCGCUCCCCACGUCUAUCAAAUGUUGCCAAAAACGACGCUGUGUGCAACUAAAGAGGGAGACGCGUCAUUCAAACAGAACAAUGGACAUCAGUUCACAAUGGUCAACGCAUAAGUGCUGCGAAAUGUGUUUGGGUUUCUGUGCACGUCGUCCAUAGCAGCCGGUGCGUGCGUGUGUGUGUAAGAGAGAGAACGAGAGGUAGAGAGAGGGGGGAGAGAGAGAGAGAGAGAGGGAGAGAGAGAGAGAGAGGGAGAGGGAGAGGAGGGGACCAGCGACGCAGCAGCUCCGCGCGCACUGUCAUCCGAGGCUGGGGAGGAGAUGUUGGGAUGCGGGAGAGGAUGCUGGCAGCAGUGACGCCCCGGCCUCGGCUUGUCUCUGCUCACUGAAGCGAAAGUAAUGCCUUUCAUUUCAUUUUUAAAAACACAAGUGUGGGUCGGAUCAACUCAUUGUGCAGGUUUACUCAGUCAGUGAAGGCGUGCAACGUUUGGGUUUCUCCCUGGACUCCUGGCUCUGAUAGUUUGGUAAAAAUACUGCGUGGACUUGAACCGGAGGUGCGGGAUUUAUUCAAAGUUUACGGCUUGUAAGUAUGAUUUUUUUUUAAUGUUUUAUUUGUGGAGUCAAUACGAGGAUAUUAGAAAUUCGAAUGCUUGACUAUUUGUUAUAUCAUAGUAUAAUAAUGAUGUAUGUAGUAAAAUACAACUAUACUCAGACAACAUUCCCUUGACAUUAUGGUUGAAGUAAAACAGAAAAUUGCACUUUGAUUUAAAUAGUGAACCCUAAAGUGGUGAGUGGCAGCAGGCUGCUCCUUCCCAUAUUAGCGGGAGCAUCCAUUGAGCGGUGAUGAGGCGGGCUGAGUGGCCCCAGAGCUGCGUUUGUAAAGCAAACAGUUGUGUGAUUGUUAGCAGAGCCUGGGAAAAUGUCCCCUUGGCUGGGAGGUGGAGGGACUUGACGCCAGAGCCUCUUGUUAAAAAAAGACUUGUGUGCUCCCAGACAGCAUUGUGAUGCUAAUGAGCACCAGCACGUUGUUGAACUUGAUGUUGACUUUUUUUUUCUUUCUUUCUUUUGAAGAUUUUUUUUUCUUUCUCUUGUGUUCUUUUUUUUUCUUGGUCACUUGUUUGUGGGAAAAUCCUCUCCGGGGCUGCAGUGUGAAAUUAAUUAAUCAGGUCUUUGCAGUUAACUACAAUGGAGAGCCAUUAAAAACACACACAGUCACUUUUGUUGUUUUUUGUUGUUUGUUUAGUGUUUGAUGAUAAAGUUUAUUUCGUAAAACAUGUUCUAAAAAGAGACGAGACACUUACUGGGAUUAUUUUUUACUGAUUUCACAUUUUAAUGGGUACACGAUUUCUUUCUCCAAAACCAAAAUGAACAGUUACGUCAAAUUAUUGCAUAUUUAAAUACCUGACAUUUUAUUUUAUAAAUAAUUGUAAUGUUUGAAUACAACACAUGUGACUGGUUUGUCAUUGAAAUUAUUUUAAUUUAAUUUAUAAACAAAAUAUUCGAGCAGAAUUAUCGCAUUUUCAAAGCAUUAUUACAACAUGCAGUUUCUUUCUUUCUUUCUUUCUUUCUUUCUUUCUUUCUUUAAUACAGUGCAACAGGUGUAGGCUUCCUGAAAACAGAAUUACCAGAACUGGACUGGACUUGAAACACAUCAUUUCUCAUGCCACAUAAAAUCAAACAUGCAACACUAUAUUCAUCCUAAAGAUGUCUUGUGAAAUGUAACUUAAAUUGACUUCAGCACACACAAUUUAGCUCUGAAUAUAAUAACUAAUGCCAUCGUAAGAACUAUAUGUAAAAUUCGGAUGACAUAUAUAUUUUAUUUAACUAUGUGCUAAAGUCAAAUUUAUUCUGUUAAAUAUGCCAGUUAUAGCAAAAAUUAGAGUUAGGAAGAAAAUCAUGAUAUGUUUUGCUUCUCGAAGUCUGUUUGCAGAUUGUGAUAAUCAUUCUCAGUGUGUGAUUUAUUUCAUAAUUUAAUUUAAAAAUAGUUUGAACGGGAAAGUGUCACUGUAGGUGAACUGUUGUGCUCCAUGUUGAACGCGGUAGUUUGACUCCGAUCAGAAUAUGACAAUUAUUUUCCUACGUUUUCAUACUCGCUUCUCUUUUCUAAAUGUGCUUUUAUUAAAUUGCAUUAGAUCCCAGUAGGUGUAUCUCUGCCUGAACAAACCCGGACUGUUUAAGUGUUUGUUUCUUCACCCUCCGAUUUGAACACAGCGCCGUGAAUUCAUUGAAUUCGUUUCAGCACCAAGGACAGAGACUGUACUCCUCCCCAGCGGUGCUGAACUCGAGUCUCUGUACAGUUUUCUCUCAUUUUCUUUUUAAAUCGAGCACUUUUCUCAGGCAUGAUUCAGUCACUGCUGGUGCAUCUUUGUUUCUUUAGAUAUUGUUUGGAAGUUUGGCAAUGACAGCAACAAAAGAGAGAGAAAAAAAUCCUUUAUUUUCCGGAGUGUUUAGCAAAAGGCUUUAAAAAGCCACAUGGAAGGUGAAUUAAUGAGUCUGUCGAGUGACUCACGUUUUACUUUUAUCAUUGAAAUUUGUUAGACAAAUAGGAGCAAAGAAUAAGACAUUGAACACCAUGCACAGACUACAAUAGAAUAGAAUAGAAAAGUCGAAGUCAGUGUAAGAUGUUACACACCUUAAUGUACGUCUGACAGGAUGUGACGCAGUCAGGGGGCGUGUUCACAUGAAUUCACGUUAGGCUGAUGGGAGGGAGAGCUGAGAGUCAAUCAGGUUUAAUUUACAGUACAAUUAUGGUUUCAGCAAAGGCAGAGCAAAAUAAUCAGAAACGCACACACACGCACACACACACGCACACACACACACACACACACACACACACACAUUAAAACAGUUGCUUUGACCUUAACACCAGCCACUAUUCCUUCUACUUAAUUCAAACACGUUUGAACAUGAAUCAUAUUUUAAUAAAUAUCUCUCUUCAACUAAUCAUCUUAUUUACAGUAGUAGUCUGUAUAUAAUUUGAGAAAAGAAUUAAAUGACAUUUCUAUCAUGCAUUUUAUGUUUCUCAAACACGACGUCUUCAUUAUGGAUUCAUUGAGGAUGGGGAUCUUAUUUUGAAAAGAUGAAACAUUUUUCCCGUGAUAAAUUUCCUUUUUUUUCUCUCCCCUGAAAUUCUUCCUCCGCCAAAGAAACAGCUUUUAUUCGCAGGCCUACAGAAAACUGAUUCAAAUGACCAGUAACACACACGAGCAUUGCCGAAUAUACGAGAGGCUCAUUAUUAAGCAUUUGGAACAUUGGUGCCAUCUCUUAUUGUAGAAUAAAUGCAUCAUUUUGAAUAAAGGGUUAGCAUGCAGUGUGAAUAGUACAGGGCUCUAUUUAACAUGUGCAGCUAAAGGCGACACGCUAACGCACCAUAGGCUUAUGUUACUGUAAAGCAGCAGCAAAGGCUGUGAUGUGGUCCAGAUGUUGUUACGCGUAUUAGUGCUUUAGUCAGCCGUUGCAUUGUGCUCGUUAGACUGAUACAUCGCUCAUUAAAAACACAAAUGUGGCGCUUUUUAAGGGUCGUUUCAACCAAUGAGAAAAAUACAAAAACAUAUGCAAAAUUAUAGAAUAAAACAAUUCGUUUUGAUAGAAAAUGAAGAGGAUUUAUGAAUAAAAAGUAUACAAUAUACUAGUAUACCUGCAAAGCAUUGUGCUGCUCUGUGCCGUGUAACCUGCAGGUUGCAAUGUACCUUUGCUCAGGGCUCGUGACUCACUGCUUGCUCAGUGUUUCUGUUUGGGGACAAACUUUUCUGUCCUUAUUCAUUCGGACAGCCUGUGCAGCUGAAAGACGGAUGGUUCAUUGUCACCGAUUCCUUAAACACGGCCAGCUGUGUGAUGUACUGCCCGAGGCCUAUCCAGUCAGGUGACAGUGCAGUUGUUGCACACUGUUGCACUCUGUACCUGCAUUUAGGACGAAGCUGUUAUUAUUGAUCUGAAUAGCGUUACUGCGCGGCGGUGAUUGAAACGUGGUGCACGAUAGAUGUUUUCUAGAUGGAUCACAGAAAUAUGAAAUGAUUCCUCACUUUGUUUGACCCCCCCCCCCCUCAGUGGAUUCUGCAGCCCUCAUGGGACCCCAUACUGAGAUCCAGUGACCAUUUUUUAUGUUUUGUGAUGGUGCAAAGCAUUUAAAAGCCUGUAUCAUGAUGUCAACACGUUCCCCUGUGAAUCUCUUACUGUCCAUCCAGUUUGUGUUUUCUCCGCCUGUCCGUUACGUCCAAUCCCUACACCGCUGCUGCGCACCCAUGUGUGCGCGCGCGCCAAUGAGCGUGCUUAAUUCCGUAGACGCACCGCGCGUCUCCCCAUGGCAGUCUGACCUCGAGGCCCCCCGGGCGGCCCUCCGCCUCCUGCGCCCCACAUCUGACACUCUGAUAGCCCAGGCGCGUUUAUCUUCACUCAGUUUCUCUUCCUUCGGGUCCUGCUGCAGUGUUGCUGUGUUUUUUAUUUAUCUGACAGCCCGGACUGGACGUAAUUCCUUGAUUAUUCCUCUAAGGAUUCACAUUCACUCGCAAACACCCACGGCAGUGCUGCGCGUGAAAUGUGCUUUGUCUUUGCAAAUGUGCCGGCAUCCCACAUGGUGGACGACAGGGAGCAUCGCGGCUGGAGAGAGUCGCGAAGAGACGCUCCCCUCCCGGGUUGUCUAGAAGAAUAUCGGCUGCAUUAAAGCCUUGUGGAUUUUUGAUAACUUUGUGUUAUUUAAUAAGGAAGCACGGCAGCACGGCUGCCCGAUUGUGGAAACUGUCGUUUCAAACCGACUGAAUAAGAAUCUGUGGAGUGCAGUCACACAAAAAUACACACACACACACACACACACACACACACACACACACACUCUGCAGGCCUGAGUCUGAACCUGCAGGACAACAGGUCAGAGGAGGCACACAUCACCUCCUGCUCUGAGGGUCAGAGGUCACAGAGUGGGUCAGAACAACACUUCAUCACUCCAAAGAUACAGCAGGAAGACGAGGAGGAGGAGGCAGUGGAGGAGGAAAACGAGAAGCAGAGUGGGUGGAAGGAUGGAAGGAGAGAAGGAUGGAAGCAGUUCGAGGAGGUGGUUGGAAGCGGGUGAACCCAGAGCAGGUGAACACAGCUGUGGAUCGCCAUGGGCUCUCUGGCUGCCCUCCUCCUGUGGCCCCGGCGCUGCAUACAGGGGUCCCGGUGAGCCGGCAGGGGCCAGCCAAAGCUGCGGCAGAGUGGGCAGGCUAGGCCAGCCAAGCCAGGAGAGAGGCAGGUGAGGCGGGUGAGCCGAGCUCUCAUCCCCGCCGGCUAGGAGCCUCCGCGGCAGAGCGGAGCAGCGCGGAGCAGCGCGGAGCAGCAGAAAUCAAUAUGGAGGAGAGAGGCUAGCAGAGGUUGCCCAGCACCGCCUGCAGGCCUCGGAGCCCAGGGACCAACAACCACCACUGCUCCCAGCUCCUCUCUCCAUCUCUCUUUCUAUCUAUUUCUCCAACAGUCCCAGCACCAGCCAGGGCCAGGGCCCUAACCGCCCCACACGCAGUGUGUGUGUCAGAAGGUGCACAUGUGUGUGUAAGAGACAGAGAGAAAGAGAGUCUUUGUGUGUGGUUCAGCCGGAGGGUUUUUUUUUUUUUUGCUGCGUCCAACACCACUUGAUAAAACUUUGUCAGAGAGACACGGAGACAGUGAGGGGGGGGACGGAAGAAGAAUAAGACAGGACGUCGAAGGUCGCUUUUCUUCCAGCUCCCUCCCUCUUAUUACUCAUUCCACCGUAACUGUUUGAAAAGGAGCCAUCGGAGACGGUGCACAGGAUGUUUCUGCUCAGUCCCACUUCCGAGUGCGUAGCGCACAAUAUUCCUAACAUCUCACGAGCCAGGAUGAAAGGACAAUUUGAACUUUUUCUCUCAUCGACAGCAUCAGACACAACCUGUCUUUUCGCCUUAGAUUUUCUUACCCUCACUACAGCAGCUCCCAUCAGAGGAUAUGGCAGUGCAGUAUUGAUCUAUAAGGUGGAAGAAGGGAAGGCGGGCCCCAGCUUUCAUACCCCCCUCUCUCUCUCUCUCUCUCUCUCUCUCCCUCUCUCCAUGUGUGUGGAAAUAGCACCUGAAGUCCACUUACUGCUGUGCAGCUGGGAUCCCAUGAAAGCAGAAGUGAAUGGCUGCUAAUUGAAUGAAAGAUGAAAAGGACAGUAGUUGUUGUACCUGCUCAACCCC